Molecule: small nucleolar RNA, 145 nt
Organism: Pteronotus mesoamericanus
Lineage: Eukaryota; Metazoa; Chordata; Mammalia; Chiroptera; Mormoopidae
Source: RefSeq, a predicted model, not a curated record
ACUGAACACUAUUAAAGCUCAAGGUGAAGGCCAGUCUUGGCCGAUGAACUGGGUGUCAGAAGUGUGCUAUGUUGAUGGCAGGGUGUUCACUAACACCAGUAGAGCCUGCAUCUAUGACUGGAGUUUGAUAGCACAUGCAAUAGUU